This 1555-nucleotide long non-coding RNA is filed under the name Marmota monax (woodchuck). Lineage: Eukaryota; Metazoa; Chordata; Mammalia; Rodentia; Sciuridae. The record is from RNAcentral.
AGUGCCCGAGCCAAGGAUGAAUGAUUUAUGCUUUGUAAACCAGAUUCUCCAGUUUUAUUUGUGGCUGUUUCCAUUUUGUAACCCCCAGGUCCUCCAUGAAACCUUGCUUAAAUGUUCCAACAUGAUCUCAGCCGUGCAGAGGGAACUAAGAAAGGCGCUCUCCCUCCACAUCAAAUGUGUGGGGCGUGACGGCUGGCAGUGACCUCUGAGGAGAAGUGGGUGUCGGGCCUGUGAGCUCGUUACCACUUUCCAUGGCAGAUUCAUCUCCUCACCUACAAGGGGCGACUACACUGGAUCUCAGCAAAGAAGAGGUCAAGUUCCCUUUUCAAAGUGCUAGAGAAAGCAGAACUCCAGCUAGCCCCUGAAAAGUAAGUGGUCAACUCAAGGUUACAAUGGCCCCGCUGACCGGCUGAGCCACGUCCGCACAACCAUUUGUAUGCUACCUCAUGGCUCAAAAAAAUAAUAAUAUUCUGUACACAGAUUAAAUGUUUACAGAAGAAAAAUAUAUUUCAAACUGUUAUCAACUAAACUAAUUUUUAUUUUCAUCUUUUUAGGAGAUGAAGAGAAAGGAAUUUAGAGAUUAUUUUAAAAAUCAUUGAACAUAUCACAAGUGUGGUGUGACUGCCACCCAAGCCCAAGAAGCCCUCCCAAGUCUCCACAUUCGUCCUUCAGUUAGGGCCCCAGUAUCUGUUCAUGUGUACAGCAAAAUGUCUGGGGAGAGCUGCCGGUAUUUUCUGCUGUCUCCACUUACCUGACUCUGUGUUCUCCCCUGACCCCUUUAUAACCCACUUUCAAGUCCACUCCUCCCUAAAACCAGUCUCAUCAGGAUCACCAGCAUCCUCCAUGGAGCACACCACUUUCUUCCCUUGGCUCUGAUUGCAACCUGUUCCUGGCUUGCCUUCUGCCUCUGAGCACGUCUCCUCUUUCCAAUGUCUGAUGACUAAUAGGCCCUAAGCACAGACCUCUGGCUCCUCUCUUCCCUACAGGCCAUUCCCUGCAGCCAGUCUCCAGGCUGUGGACUCCCAGUUGACACCUCUAGCCUCACUUUCCCCUUCACACACACAGCAGCCUGGCUAACAUCACAUUUGGAUACUCAGUCUGCGUCUCCAGCUUCAGUAUCUACCCAGAACUCCACGCCUCUUCCUUCCCUGCCCCAGUCUUCCCCAUUUCAGUAUGUAGCACCACUGUUUACCCAGUUGCUUGUGCCAGGAUCUAAACAUCAUGCUUGAUUCUCCCUCCUCCUCCAUAUCUAACUCAUCAGCUAGUCAGGUUGACCCUGCCUCCUUCCCAAAUCAAGCCACCCAUCCCCACCAUCUCCCCUGCCCCGAGUCCAGGCCGUGCCUCUUAACCAAUCUGCUUUUAUGGUUGCUCCCACUAACUAUUUUUAAAAACAGCCAUGUCUUACAGAACACCGGCCACACCAUGUCAUUUUCCUCCUUAGGACACUGCUGACUCUCCCACACAAUGAAACCCACAGUCCCUGCCGUGGCCUCUGAUGUCCUGUCUGUCCCAUUCCUCACCUCCCACCCCUGGCACUUGCUGGGUUUCAUCUGGC